This 224-nucleotide long non-coding RNA is filed under the name Mytilus galloprovincialis (Mediterranean mussel). Lineage: Eukaryota; Metazoa; Mollusca; Bivalvia; Mytilida; Mytilidae. The record is from RNAcentral.
AACUUUUUAGCUCACCUGGCCUAAAAGGCCAUGUGAGCUUUUCUCAUCACUUGGCGUCCGUCGUCGUUAACAAUUUUUCAAACAUCUUCUCCUCUGAAACUACUGAAUAGAUUUGAAUGAAACUUAAAAUGAUUGUUCCUUAGAUUAUCCUGCACAAAGUGUGUGCUUCUAUUUUUGAUCUGUCAAAAAACAUGGCCGCCGUUACUUAAAAUAGAACAUAGGGG